GCACAACCUAACUAUUAAUCUAAAACAAAACGAAAUUGUCGUGUCAAAAUUCAAAAUUGAUAGCACAAAUUUUGUCAUCCAACCCCACUAACCUACCAUGUAAACCGAAACAUAGCCCCUCAUGGAGUGGUCGAGUUGGUGAAGUAAGUGAGCGCGGAAUUCUUUGGUCACGAGUUCGAUUCCUGCUACCAACGCUUUCUUGGUCAAGCAUGUCGCACCGAACUUGUCUAGUGCGAUUUACAUUAUUGGCGUGGUUUGCAGACUAUUACAUCAACUC
This 277-nucleotide long non-coding RNA is filed under the name Olea europaea (common olive). RNAcentral's name for it is "long non-coding RNA (OEUR_LNC012743)". Lineage: Eukaryota; Viridiplantae; Streptophyta; Magnoliopsida; Lamiales; Oleaceae. The record is from RNAcentral.